This is a long non-coding RNA of Etheostoma cragini (Arkansas darter), 118 nucleotides long. RefSeq lists it as uncharacterized. The record is from RefSeq and is a predicted model, not a curated record. The transcript is spliced from 4 exons. NCBI's taxonomy places the organism in Eukaryota, Metazoa, Chordata, Actinopteri, Perciformes, Percidae.
CAUCUUUUAAUGCACACCUUUUUCACCAUGGAUGUAUGACCCACCACAAACAUGUUGGAGCUCAAUUCUUAACCUGGUGCAUUAUAAAAACAUAGUUGAGGGUUGUUUCUUACAGCUU